This 508-nucleotide ribosomal RNA is filed under the name uncultured bacterium. RNAcentral describes it as "partial 16S ribosomal RNA". It matches the Rfam family "Bacterial small subunit ribosomal RNA", at positions 28 to 507 of the family's 1533-position model. The record is from RNAcentral.
GACGAACGCUGGCGGCGUGCCUAAUACAUGCAAGUCGAACGCUUCUUUCCUCCCGAGUGCUUGCACUCAAUUGGAAAGAGGAGUGGCGGACGGGUGAGUAACACGUGUGUAACCUACCCAUCAGAGGGGGAUAACACUUGGAAACAGGUGCUAAUACCGCAUAACAGUUUAUGCCGCAUGGCAUAAGAGUGAAAGGCGCUUUCGGGUGUCGUUGAUGGAUGGACCCGCGGUGCAUUAGCUAGUUGGUGAGGUAACGGCUCACCAAGGCCACGAUGCAUAGCCGACCUGAGAGGGUGAUCGGCCACACUGGGACUGAGACACGGCCCAGACUCCUACGGGAGGCAGCAGUAGGGAAUCUUCGGCAAUGGACGAAAGUCUGACCGAGCAACGCCGCGUGAGUGAAGAAGGUUUUCGGAUCGUAAAACUCUGUUGUUAGAGAAGAACAAGGACGUUAGUAACUGAACGUCCCCUGACGGUAUCUAACCAGAAAGCCACGGCUAACUACGUG